Molecule: ribosomal RNA, 980 nt
Filed under: Bacillus cereus
Lineage: Bacteria; Bacillati; Bacillota; Bacilli; Caryophanales; Bacillaceae
Description: bacterial SSU rRNA
Rfam family: Bacterial small subunit ribosomal RNA
Source: RNAcentral
UUGUUACGGAGAACAAGUGCUAGUGAUAAGCUGGCACUUUGACCGUUACUUAUCAGAAAGCCACGGGCUUACUACCGUGCCAGCAGCCGCGGUAAUACGUAGGUGGCAAGCGUUAAUCCGGAAUUAUUGGGCGUAAAGCGCGCGCAGGUGUUUCUUAAGUCUGAUGUGAAAGCCCCACGGCUCAACCGUGGAGGGUCAUUGGAAACUGGGAGACUUGAGUGCAGAAGAGGAAAGUGGAAUUCCAUGUGUAGCGGUGAAAUGCGUAGAGAUAUGGAGGAACACCAGUGGCGAAGGCGACUUUCUUGUCUGUAACUGACACUGAGGCGCGAAAGCGUGGGGAGCAAACAGGAUUAGAUACCCUGGUAGUCCACGCCGUAAACGAUGAGUGCUAAGUGUUAGAGGGUUUCCGCCCUUUAGUGCUGAAGUUAACGCAUUAAGCACUCCGCCUGGGGAGUACGGCCGCAAGGCUGAAACUCAAAGGAAUUGACGGGGGCCCGCACAAGCGGUGGAGCAUGUGGUUUAAUUUGAAGCAACGCGAAGAACCUUACCAGGUCUUGACAUCCUUUGAAAACCCUAGAGAUAGGGCUUUUCCUUCGGGAGCAGAGUGACAGGUGGUGCAUGGUUGUUGUCAGCUCGUGUCGUGAGAUGUUGGGUUAAGUCCCGCAACGAGCGCAACCCUUGAUUUUAGUUGCCAUCAUUAAGUUGGGCACUUUAAGGUGACUGCCGGUGACAAACCGGAGGAAGGUGGGGAUGACGUCAAAUCAUCAUGCCCCUUAUGACCUGGGCUACACACGUGCUACAAUGGACGGUACAAAGAGCUGCAAGACCGCGAGGUGGAGCUAAUUUCAUAAAACCGUUUUCAGUUCGGAUUGUAGGCUGCAACUUGCCUACAUGAAGCUGGAAUCGCUAGUAAUCGCGGAUCAGCAUGCCGCGGUGAAUACGUUCCCGGGCCUUGUACACCCCGCCCGUCACCCCCCGAG